ACACGACUCUCGGCAACGGAUAUCUCGGCUCUCGCAUCGAUGAAGAACGUAGCGAAAUGCGAUACCUGGUGUGAAUUGCAGAAUCCCGCGAACCAUCGAGUCUUUGAACGCAAGUUGCGCCCGAGGCCACUUGGCCGAGGGCACGCCUGCCUGGGCGUCACGU
This 163-nucleotide ribosomal RNA is filed under the name Dactylis glomerata (orchard grass). RNAcentral's name for it is "5.8S ribosomal RNA". It matches the Rfam family "5.8S ribosomal RNA". From Rfam's summary of the family: 5.8S ribosomal RNA (5.8S rRNA) is a component of the large subunit of the eukaryotic ribosome. It is transcribed by RNA polymerase I as part of the 45S precursor that also contains 18S and 28S rRNA. Lineage: Eukaryota; Viridiplantae; Streptophyta; Magnoliopsida; Poales; Poaceae. The record is from RNAcentral.